This 394-nucleotide ribosomal RNA is filed under the name uncultured bacterium. Its description in RNAcentral is "partial 16S ribosomal RNA". It matches the Rfam family "Bacterial small subunit ribosomal RNA", at positions 523 to 918 of the family's 1533-position model. The record is from RNAcentral.
AUACGGAGGACGCGAGCGUUAUCCGGAUUCAUUGGGUUUAAAGGGUGCGCAGGCGGCCGUGCAAGUCAGCGGUGAAAGCCCGGGGCCCAACCCCGGAAGUGCCGUUGAUACUGCAUGGCUUGAAUGCGGUCGAGGCGGGCGGGAAGUGGCGGGUUGCGGUGAAAGGCGUAGGUAUGCCACAGAACGCCGAUAGCGGGGGCAGCCCGCCGGGCCUGCAUUGACGCUCGGGCACGAAAGCGUGGGGAUCGAACAGGAUUAGAUACCCUGGUAGUCCACGCCGUAAACGAUGGACACCCGCGGUUUGGCCUGUAUGGCUGAGCCGCCAAGCGAAAGCGUUAAGUGUCCCACCUGGGGAGUACGCCGGCAACGGUGAAACUCAAAUGAAUUGGCGGGG